UCCGUAACUUCGGGAUAAGGAGGACCCCAGUAGCGUGACGAGACUUGCUCUCCGAGCGUGAAGGGGUGGCACAAAAUUGAGGGAAGCGACUGUUUACCAAAAACACAGCAGCGUGCUAAGCCGUAAGGCGCUGUAUACGCUGUGACUCCUGCCCGGUGCUGGAAGGUUACGGGGAUGGGUUAGUCCUUCGGGACGAAGCUCUGAACCUAAGCCCCAGUAAACGGCGGCCGUAACUAUAACGGUCCUAAGGUAGCGAAAUUCCUUGUCGGGUAAGUUCCGACCUGCACGAAUGGAGUAACGACUUCCCUACUGUCUCAACCAUAGACCCAGCGAAAUUGAAGUACGAGUAAAGAUGCUCGGUAGCUGCAGAAUGACGGAAAGACCCCGUGGACCUUUACUAUAACUUGAUGUUGUGUUUUGUCAUAUGUUGUGUAGGAUAGGUGGGAGACAAGGAAGCAUGGACGCUAGUCUGUGUGGAGUCAUCGUUGAAAUACCACCCUGCAUAUGGUGAGGCUCUAACCCACCCGUUAUCCGGGUUGGGGACAGCGUCAGGCGGGUAGUUUAACUGGGGCGGUUGCCUCCUAAAGAGUAACGGAGGCGCCCAAAGGUUCCCUCAGCCUGGUUGGCAAUCAGGCGUCGAGUGCAAUGGCAAAAGGGAGCUUGACUGCGAGACCUACAAGUCGAGCAGGAGCGAAAGCUGGGCAUAGUGAUCCGGCGGUUGCGUGUGGAAGCGCCGUCGCUCAACGGAUAAAAGGUACCCCGGGGAUAACAGGCUAAUCUUGCCCAAGCGUCCAUAGCGACGGCAAGGUUUGGCACCUCGAUGUCGGCUCAUCGCAUCCUGGGGCUGAAGCAGGUCCCAAGGGUUGGGCUGUUCGCCCAUUAAAGCGGUACGCGAGCUGGGUUCAGAACGUCGUGAGACAGUUCGGUCCCUAUCCUCUGUAGCCGUAGGUGAAUUGAGGAAAGCUGUCCCUAGUACGAGAGGACCGGGACGGACGCAGCUCUCGUGUGCCAGUUGUCCUGCCAAGGGCAUGGCUGGUUAGCGACCUGCGGAAAGGAUAACCGCUGAAAGCAUCUAAGCGGGAAGCCUCUUCCGAGAUGAAUUCACCCACAGGGUUAACCUGGUAAGGCCCGUGGUAGACCACCACGUUGAUAGGCCGGAAGUGUAAGCGUGGCAACACGUUCAGCUGACCGGUACUAAUCGGCCGAGGGCUUGAAUU
This 1217-nucleotide ribosomal RNA is filed under the name metagenome. RNAcentral's name for it is "bacterial LSU rRNA". It matches the Rfam family "Bacterial large subunit ribosomal RNA", at positions 1727 to 2925 of the family's 2925-position model. The record is from RNAcentral.